UAUCCUACAACAUACAACAUAUGCCGCACACAAACAGAAACAAGCAACGGAGUUCGCCCCUGCAACUGCUCCGCCUCCGGCCUCCGGCUGCUCCGCCUCCGGCCUCCGGCUGCUCCACCUCUGGCCUCCGGCCUCCGGCUGCUCCGCCUCCAGCGAUUAAGUUACGGUUCAGAAACUAAUCCAAUUAAUGAUCCAUCUGAGAUAUGCCAUACACUGCCUGAAUACUCAUAUGUGGAUGGAGAUGGAACAGUCCCUGCCGAGUCUGCAAUGGUACCUUAAAUAUCAUAUAUAAAGUGUGUGUUUAUGUGCCCCUCCCUUUAAAUAAUUGGGUCAAACACAUCGAUCGAUCGCCUAAUUAACUUCAAGUUUGACUACUUAUUCAUCAAACUCUUCGAGACCCAUGUUUUAACUAUUGACAAACCUGAUUUAGUUUUUCUAUUUGUAAAGACUAUCGUAUUUUAUAGUGUUUUUAAAUUUCUAAUGACGAUUUUCUUUUCAUCAUUGUA
Long non-coding RNA from Helianthus annuus (common sunflower), 506 nucleotides. RefSeq lists it as uncharacterized. The record is from RefSeq and is a predicted model, not a curated record. NCBI's taxonomy places the organism in Eukaryota, Viridiplantae, Streptophyta, Magnoliopsida, Asterales, Asteraceae. The transcript has 3 exons.